UCGCUGGAGGGCUAGUGGUUAGGCCACAGCGCUCUCACCUCUGUGACCCAGGUUCGAUUCCUGGCCAGGGAA
Molecule: non-coding RNA, 72 nt
Organism: Pangasius djambal
Lineage: Eukaryota; Metazoa; Chordata; Actinopteri; Siluriformes; Pangasiidae
Source: the annotation of a GenBank genome assembly